This is a non-coding RNA of Bactrocera oleae (olive fruit fly), 209 nucleotides long. Lineage: Eukaryota; Metazoa; Arthropoda; Insecta; Diptera; Tephritidae. The record is from RefSeq and is a predicted model, not a curated record.
UAUCAGUUACGUCCACAUAUUGGCAGAGAAGGAUCGACAACCGAAACCAAAAAUUAUCAGUUACGUCCACAUAACGGCGCAGAAGAUUCGACAACUGAAAACAAAAAUUAUAAGUUGCACUCAAUUGAUGGUGGGGAACAUUCCACAACUGCACCAAAUAGUUAUCAGUUACGUCCACAUAACGGCGCAGAAGAUUCGACAACUGAAAA